UGCGUAGGCGGAAUGAUAAGUCAGUGGUGAAAUCCUACAGCUUAACUGUAGAACUGCCAUUGAUACUGUUGUUCUUGAGUAUAGUUGAGGUGGGCGGAAUGUGUCAUGUAGCGGUGAAAUGCUUAGAUAUGACACAGAACACCGAUCGCGAAGGCAGCUCGCUAAACUAUAACUGACGCUCAGGCACGAAAGCGUGGGGAGCGAACAGGAUUAGAUACCCUGGUAGUC
Molecule: ribosomal RNA, 228 nt
Filed under: uncultured bacterium
Lineage: Bacteria
Description: partial 16S ribosomal RNA
Rfam family: Bacterial small subunit ribosomal RNA
Source: RNAcentral